AAAACUUUCAACAACGGAUCUCUUGGUUCUGGCAUCGAUGAAGAACGCAGCGAAAUGCGAUAAGUAAUGUGGAAUUGCAGAAUUCAGUGAAUCAUCGAAUCUUUGAACGCACAUUGCGCCCUCUGGUAUUCCGGAGGGGCAUGCCUGUUCGAGCGUCAU
Molecule: ribosomal RNA, 159 nt
Filed under: Diaporthe helianthi
Lineage: Eukaryota; Fungi; Ascomycota; Sordariomycetes; Diaporthales; Diaporthaceae
Description: 5.8S ribosomal RNA
Rfam family: 5.8S ribosomal RNA
About the family: 5.8S ribosomal RNA (5.8S rRNA) is a component of the large subunit of the eukaryotic ribosome.
Source: RNAcentral